This 305-nucleotide ribosomal RNA is filed under the name uncultured bacterium. Its description in RNAcentral is "bacterial SSU rRNA". It matches the Rfam family "Bacterial small subunit ribosomal RNA", at positions 338 to 636 of the family's 1533-position model. The record is from RNAcentral.
CCUACGGGGGGCAGCAGUAGGGAAUUUUCGGCAAUGGGGGGAACCCUGACCGAGCAACGCCGCGUGAAGGAAGAAGGAAUUCGUUCUGUAAACUUCUGUUAUAAAGGAAGAAAGACGGAUGGAGGAAAUGACAUCCGAGUGACGGUACUUUAUGAGAAAGCCACGGCUAACUACGUGCCAGCAGCCGCGGUAAUACGUAGGUGGCAAGCGUUAUCCGGAAUUAUUGGGCGUAAAGAGGGAGCAGGCGGCAGCAAAGGUCUGUGGUGAAAGACUGAAGCUUAACUUCAGUAAGCCAUAGAAACCGG